This 445-nucleotide ribosomal RNA is filed under the name uncultured bacterium. Its description in RNAcentral is "partial 16S ribosomal RNA". It matches the Rfam family "Bacterial small subunit ribosomal RNA", at positions 354 to 796 of the family's 1533-position model. The record is from RNAcentral.
GUGAGGAAUAUUGCGCAAUGGAGGCAACUCUGACGCAGCCAUGCCGCGUGCAGGAAGAAGGCGCUACGCGUUGUAAACUGCUUUUAACCGGGAAGAAACCCCAGGACGUGUCCUGGGUUGACGGUACCGGAGGAAUAAGCACCGGCUAACUUCGUGCCAGCAGCCGCGGUAAUACGAAGGGUGCAAGCGUUAUCCGGACUCAUUGGGUUUAAAGGGUGCGUAGGCGGAGCGUUAAGUCAGUGGUGAAAUCCUGCAGCUUAACUGUAGACUUGCCAUUGAUACUGGCGCUCUUGAGUGCGCUUGAAGUGGGCGGAAUGUGCCGUGUAGCGGUGAAAUGCUUAGAUAUGGCACAGAACACCAAUUGCGAAGGCAGCUCACUAAGGCGAUACUGACGCUGAGGCACGAAAGCGUGGGGAUCGAACAGGAUUAGAUACCCUUGUAGUCC